This is a small nucleolar RNA of Esox lucius (northern pike), 306 nucleotides long. The record is from Ensembl. Lineage: Eukaryota; Metazoa; Chordata; Actinopteri; Esociformes; Esocidae.
GCCCAAUGAUGAGACCAAGGCGAAUGCGAGCCAACUGAAGGAGUAGUUUGGGAUCUGCCUUGUUUCGAUUGGCUGGUAAUCUUGGCAAUGUAGUGGAGAUUGGCUACUUUGCUGUAAGGGCUGGCCUACAGUGACCCGGCCCCAACCACAUGUUUCUCCUGUUAAAGGAAAACAGGAGAGUUGUGGGAGGGUGCUGACAGUGUGACUGAUGUUUGUUUGUGUGUCUGUAUAUGUGAGACAAGGAGAAACCGGCUCUCUUCAAUGUUCAGUUGGCUGUGAGCACUCUUCUUUGGUAAUCUGAGGGAA